CCUACGGGAGGCAGCAGUGAGGAAUAUUGGUCAAUGGACGAGAGUCUGAACCAGCCAAGUAGCGUGAAGGAUGACUGCCCUAUGGGUUGUAAACUUCUUUUAUAAAGGAAUAAAACGAGGCACGUGUGCCUUUUUUCAUGUACUUUAUGAAUAAGGAUCGGCUAACUCCGUGCCAGCAGCCGCGGUAAUACGGAGGAGCCGAGCGUUAUCCGGAGUUAUUGGGUUUAAAGGGAGCGUAGAUGGGUUGUUAAGUCAGUUGUGAAAGUUUGCGGCUCAAACGUAAAAUUGAAAUUGAUACUGGCAGUCUUGAGUACAGUUGAGGUAGGCGGAAUUCGUGGUGUAGCGGUGAAAUGCUUAGAUAUCACGAAGAACCCCGAUUGCGAAGGCAGCUUACUAAACUGUGACUGACAUUGAUGCUCGAAAGUGUGGGUAUCAAACAGGAUUAGAUACCCUUGUAGUC
This 460-nucleotide ribosomal RNA is filed under the name uncultured bacterium. RNAcentral's name for it is "partial 16S ribosomal RNA". It matches the Rfam family "Bacterial small subunit ribosomal RNA", at positions 338 to 795 of the family's 1533-position model. The record is from RNAcentral.